Hevea brasiliensis (rubber tree) is the source of this 84-nucleotide small nucleolar RNA. RefSeq annotates it as small nucleolar RNA snoR117. NCBI's taxonomy places the organism in Eukaryota, Viridiplantae, Streptophyta, Magnoliopsida, Malpighiales, Euphorbiaceae. The transcript has a single exon. The record is from RefSeq and is a predicted model, not a curated record.
GGCCUGUGAUGCAUAGAAAAUUGUCCGUACCAUCUGAUGAUAUCUAUCUCUUGAUGCAUUGAAACAUCUCUACUUCUGAGGCCU